Molecule: ribosomal RNA, 759 nt
Filed under: Brevundimonas sp. BV8-1
Lineage: Bacteria; Pseudomonadati; Pseudomonadota; Alphaproteobacteria; Caulobacterales; Caulobacteraceae
Description: bacterial SSU rRNA
Rfam family: Bacterial small subunit ribosomal RNA
Source: RNAcentral
ACGACGCUGGCGGCAGGCCUAACACAUGCAAGUCGAACGAACUCUUCGGAGUUAGUGGCGGACGGGUGAGUACACGUGGGAACGUGCCUUUAGGUUCGGAAUAACUCAGGGAAACUUGUGCUAAUACCGAAUGUGCCCUUCGGGGGAAAGAUUUAUCGCCUUUAGAGCGGCCCGCGUCUGAUUAGCUAGUUGGUGAGGUAAAGGCUCACCAAGGCGACGAUCAGUAGCUGGUCUGAGAGGAUGAUCAGCCACAUUGGGACUGAGACACGGCCCAAACUCCUACGGGAGGCAGCAGUGGGGAAUCUUGCGCAAUGGGCGAAAGCCUGACGCAGCCAUGCCGCGUGAAUGAUGAAGGUCUUAGGAUUGUAAAAUUCUUUCAGUAGGGACGAUAAUGACGGUACCUACAGAAGAAGCCCCGGCUAACUUCGUGCCAGCAGCCGCGGUAAUACGAAGGGGGCUAGCGUUGCUCGGAAUUACUGGGCGUAAAGGGAGCGUAGGCGGACAUUUAAGUCAGGGGUGAAAUCCCGGGGCUCAACCUCGGAAUUGCCUUUGAUACUGGGUGUCUUGAGUGUGAGAGAGGUAUGUGGAACUCCGAGUGUAGAGGUGAAAUUCGUAGAUAUUCGGAAGAACACCAGUGGCGAAGGCGACAUACUGGCUCAUUACUGACGCUGAGGCUCGAAAGCGUGGGGAGCAAACAGGAUUAGAUACCCUGGUAGUCCACGCCGUAAACGAUGAUUGCUAGUUGUCGGGAUGCAUGCA